CCUACGGGUGGCAGCAGUGGGGAAUAUUGCACAAUGGGCGCAAGCCUGAUGCAGCCAUGCCGCGUGUGUGAAGAAGGCCUUCGGGUUGUAAAGCACUUUCAGCGGGGAGGAAGGCGUUAAGGUUAAUAACCUUGUCGAUUGACGUUACCCGCGGAAGAAGCACCGGCUAACUCCGUGCCAGCAGCCGCGGUAAUACAGAGGGUGCAAGCGUUAAUCGGAAUUACUGGGCGUAAAGCGCACGCAGGCGGUCUGUCAAGUCGGAUGUGAAAUCCCCGGGCUCAACCUGGGAACUGCAUUCGAAACUGGCAGGCUAGAGUCUUGUAGAGGGGGGUGGAAUUGCAGGUGUAGCGGUGAAAUGCGCAGAUAUCUGGAGGAAUACCGGUGGCGAAUGCUGCCCCCUGGACAAAGACUGACGCUCAGGUGCGAAAGCGUGGGGAGCAGACAGGAUUAGAUACCCUGGUAGUC
Molecule: ribosomal RNA, 465 nt
Filed under: uncultured Klebsiella sp.
Lineage: Bacteria; Pseudomonadati; Pseudomonadota; Gammaproteobacteria; Enterobacterales; Enterobacteriaceae
Description: bacterial SSU rRNA
Rfam family: Bacterial small subunit ribosomal RNA
Source: RNAcentral